GGGGGCGUCCCGGCUUCGACGGAGAUGCUGAACCCUGUGGUGCAUGUCGGGCUGGCACUCUCGUUAAAACGGCCAACGGCAUUAAUUGCCAACGACGACGUAGAACUCGCUUACGCUGCGUAAGUGACCCUGCCUCAGAGGGCGCCCAUCACCUCGGAGACCAGGGCCCUUAAGAUGGGACCGCUUGGAUUGCUGGAGGCUCGUGGCACCUGAGUUAAACUUUAACGAACCGACCCGCUGAUGGCCUUGUCCGUACAGUUUUCAUCGGGUGCUGUUUGAACGGACUAAACAUGUAGACCUGCAGGCUGAUGGUUUCCGGACGCGGGUUCGACUCCCGCCGCCUCCACCA
Molecule: transfer-messenger RNA, 349 nt
Filed under: Mariprofundaceae bacterium
Lineage: Bacteria; Pseudomonadati; Pseudomonadota; Candidatius Mariprofundia; Mariprofundales; Mariprofundaceae
Rfam family: transfer-messenger RNA
About the family: Bacterial tmRNA, also known as 10Sa RNA or SsrA, is named for its dual tRNA and mRNA-like properties.
Source: RNAcentral